Molecule: ribosomal RNA, 497 nt
Filed under: uncultured bacterium
Lineage: Bacteria
Description: partial 16S ribosomal RNA
Rfam family: Bacterial small subunit ribosomal RNA
Source: RNAcentral
GAUGAACGCUGGCGGCGUGCCUAAUACAUGCAAGUCGAGCGAACAGACGAGGAGCUUGCUCCUCUGACGUUAGCGGCGGACGGGUGAGUAACACGUGGAUAACCUACCUAUAAGACUGGGAUAACUUCGGGAAACCGGAGCUAAUACCGGAUAAUAUAUUGAACCGCAUGGUUCAAUAGUGAAAGACGGUUUUGCUGUCACUUAUAGAUGGAUCCGCGCCGCAUUAGCUAGUUGGUAAGGUAACGGCUUACCAAGGCGACGAUGCGUAGCCGACCUGAGAGGGUGAUCGGCCACACUGGAACUGAGACACGGCCCAGACUCCUAGGGGAGGCAGCAGUAGGGAAUCUUCCGCAAGGGGCGAAAGCCUGACGGAGCAACGCCGCGUGAGUGAUGAAGGUCUUCGGAUCGUAAAACUCUGUUAUUAGGGAAGAACAAAUGUGUAAGUAACUAUGCACGUCUUGACGGUACCUAAUCAGAAAGCCACGGCUAACUACGUG